RNAcentral lists this long non-coding RNA (216 nucleotides) under Capsicum annuum. Its description in RNAcentral is "long non-coding RNA (CANN_LNC017410)". Lineage: Eukaryota; Viridiplantae; Streptophyta; Magnoliopsida; Solanales; Solanaceae. The record is from RNAcentral.
AUAAUCAUUGUCAACUGGGUUCUCUGCCAAAUGAUCGGCCAAUGCUUGCGCUUUCAUAGCGGUACGAGUAACGUACACAAUGUCGAAUUCUGUAAGUAAAAUCUGCCACUUCGCCAAUCUGCCUGUGGGCAUAGGUUUUUGAAAAAUAUACUUUAAAGGAUCCAUUCGAGAUAUGAGGUAGGUUGUGUAGGACGAAAGAUAGUGCUUCAACUUCUG